GUUGUGGAGUCCAGCAUAGCAUACUCUGGCGUAACGCGCCGAAAGACGUCCCCAGCCUCGGCCUCUAUGGCUUCAACUAACCAACUCUCGAUAUGCAAAUACACCACCCAGUCCCCAUUUCCUCCCGUGCUCGGCAUGGGCAUUACAUACCCAGCUCCACCGCCCCACGGGAAGUGGUACGACCAGAAAACCACCUUUCCCCAACCAAACUCUACUUCUCCGACCGGGAACUGCCGC
RNAcentral lists this unclassified non-coding RNA (237 nucleotides) under Hevea brasiliensis (rubber tree). Lineage: Eukaryota; Viridiplantae; Streptophyta; Magnoliopsida; Malpighiales; Euphorbiaceae. The record is from RNAcentral.